AAUCAACGCUGGCGGCGUGCCUAACACAUGCAAGUCGAACGAGAAAGUGGAGCAAUCCAUGAGUAAAGUGGCGCACGGGUGAGUAACACGUGACUAACCUACCCUUGAGUGGGGAAUAACUUCGGGAAACCGAGGCUAAUACCGCAUAAUACCUACGGGUCAAAGGAGCAAUUCGCUUAAGGAGGGGGUCGCGGCCGAUUAGUUAGUUGGCGGGGUAAUGGCCCACCAAGACGAUGAUCGGUAUCCGGCCUGAGAGGGCGCACGGACACACUGGAACUGAAACACGGUCCAGACUCCUACGGGAGGCAGCAGUGGGGAAUUUUGCGCAAUGGGGGAAACCCUGACGCAGCAACGCCGCGUGGAGGAUGAAGUACUUCGGUACGUAAACUCCUUUCGAUCGGGACGAUAAUGACGGUACCGGAAGAAGAAGCCCCGGCUAACUUCGUGCCAGCAGCCGCGGUAAUACGAGGGGGGCAAGCGUUGUUCGGAAUUAUUGGGCGUAAAGGGUGCGUAGGCGGUUUGGUAAGUCUCUUGUGAAAUUUAUGGGCUCAACUCAUAAACUGCAAGGGAAACUGCCG
RNAcentral lists this ribosomal RNA (578 nucleotides) under uncultured bacterium. RNAcentral's name for it is "bacterial SSU rRNA". It matches the Rfam family "Bacterial small subunit ribosomal RNA", at positions 28 to 638 of the family's 1533-position model. The record is from RNAcentral.